GGGGCCUUAGCUCAACGGUAGAGCAGCAGACUCAUAAUCUGUUGGUUGUAGGUUCGAAUCCUACAGGCCCCAUCA
Molecule: transfer RNA, 75 nt
Filed under: Blastocatellia bacterium
Lineage: Bacteria; Pseudomonadati; Acidobacteriota; Blastocatellia
Description: tRNA-Met
Rfam family: tRNA
About the family: Transfer RNA (tRNA) molecules are approximately 80 nucleotides in length. Their secondary structure includes four short double-helical elements and three loops (D, anti-codon, and T loops).
Source: RNAcentral